AUUGAACGCUGGCGGAAUGCUUUACACAUGCAAGUCGAACGGCAGCACGGACUUCGGUCUGGUGGCGGGUGGCGAACGGGUGAGUAAUGUAUCGGAACGUGCCCAGUCGUGGGGGAUAACGUAGUGAAAAUUACGCUAAUACCGCAUACGAUCUAUGGAUGAAAGCGGGGGAUCGCAAGACCUCGCGCGAUUGGAGCGGCCGAUAUCAGAUUAGGUAGUUGGCGGGGUAAAGGCCCACCAAGCCAACGAUCUGUAGCUGGUCUGAGAGGACGACCAGCCACACUGGAACUUAGACACGGUCCAGACUCCUACGGGAGGCAGCAGUGGGGAAUUUUGGACAAUGGGCGAAAGCCUGAUCCAGCCAUUCCGCGUGCAGGAUGAAGGCCCUCGGGUUGUAAACUGCUUUUGUACAGAACGAAAAGGUUUCUACUAAUACUAGGAGCUCAUGACGGUACUGUAAGAAUAAGCACCGGCUAACUACGUGCCAGCCGCCGCCGUAA
RNAcentral lists this ribosomal RNA (500 nucleotides) under uncultured bacterium. Its description in RNAcentral is "partial 16S ribosomal RNA". It matches the Rfam family "Bacterial small subunit ribosomal RNA", at positions 30 to 523 of the family's 1533-position model. The record is from RNAcentral.